CGUCACAUCACCGUAUCGAAUUUCGUAAUAAUAAAAGCUGCGAAAAUUUAUUGUGGAUUUUAUUUAUUUUUCACGUUUUAAAUAUGGCGUUCGUUGGUUUGAAGUUUCUUCUAGUUCUUAUCGUCGCAGCAUUUGCGACUGCUCAAGUUCAGAGUCAGCAAAGAUUGCGAUCAUCAGAAUGCACCAGGCUUGGAGGGACGUGCGAACCUCUACUCCAAUUUAGUCACUGCAAAUCCGGUGAAAGCUUACCAUAUAGCUGUACCCUUUAUGGACUCAGAUGUUGCAAACGUAAAAACGAAUGCGAAGAAAAUGGUGGAGUGUGUGAACCUUUUUACUUCGGCUCACAAUGUAAGUCUGGUAUCGGGUUGAACUACAGUUGUAAUAGGACAGGAGCUAUGUGCUGUGCCCCUUCAAUGUAACAACGACUAUGUAUUAUGAUACAGAAACCUUGUAUAAUACGCUAUGUAUUGCAUAAAUAAAAUCACUAUAAAACGAA
Molecule: long non-coding RNA, 496 nt
Organism: Plodia interpunctella (Indianmeal moth)
Lineage: Eukaryota; Metazoa; Arthropoda; Insecta; Lepidoptera; Pyralidae
Exons: 3
Source: RefSeq, a predicted model, not a curated record